RNAcentral lists this transfer RNA (58 nucleotides) under Tamias striatus (eastern chipmunk). Its description in RNAcentral is "tRNA-Ser". The record is from RNAcentral. Lineage: Eukaryota; Metazoa; Chordata; Mammalia; Rodentia; Sciuridae.
AGAAAGUAUGCAAGAACUGCUAAUUCAUGCCCUCCAUACCUACCCGUAUGGCUUUCUU